GUAACGGUGUCUUUAGACACCACCUUCUUUCUUCAAAAUAUUAUUU
Molecule: non-coding RNA, 46 nt
Organism: Picea glauca (white spruce)
Lineage: Eukaryota; Viridiplantae; Streptophyta; Pinopsida; Pinales; Pinaceae
Source: Rfam